RNAcentral lists this ribosomal RNA (622 nucleotides) under Clostridioides difficile. RNAcentral describes it as "partial 23S ribosomal RNA". It matches the Rfam family "Bacterial large subunit ribosomal RNA", at positions 13 to 640 of the family's 2925-position model. Lineage: Bacteria; Bacillati; Bacillota; Clostridia; Peptostreptococcales; Peptostreptococcaceae. The record is from RNAcentral.
AAGGGUGCAGGGCGGAUGCCUUGGCACUAGGAGCCGAUGAAGGACGUGAUAAGCUGCGAUAAGCUUCGGGGAGUUGCACGUAAACUUUGAUCCGAAGAUUUCCGAAUGAGGAAACUCACUUAGAGUAAUGUCUAAGUAUCAUUAAGUGAAUACAUAGCUUAAUGAGGGGAACUCAGGGAACUGAAACAUCUAAGUACCUGAAGGAAGAGAAAGAAAUUCGAUUCCGUAAGUAGCGGCGAGCGAACGCGGAUUAGCCCAAACCAAUAAAGUUUUCUUUAUUGGGGUUGCGGACAUAUCAUAACGAAGAGGUAUCGUAAUUGAAGAGGUUUGGAAAGACCCACCACAGAAGGUAAUAGUCCUGUAUGUUAAACGAGAAGACUUUAGAUAUGAUCCAGAGUACCACGGGACACGUGAAACCCUGUGGGAAGCAGGAGGGACCACCCUCCAAGGCUAAAUACUACCUAGUGACCGAUAGCGUAUAGUACCGUGAGGGAAAGGUGAAAAGAACCCCGGGAGGGGAGUGAAAUAGAACCUGAAACCCUGCACUUACAAGCUGUGGAAGCACAUUUCUUGUGUGACCGCGUACUUUUUGUAGAACGGGCCAACGAGUUACGUUAAGUAG